UUUUAAUUGAAGGCUUGUAUGAAGGGUUGGACAAAGGAUAAGCUGUCUUUGUUUUUGUUUUUGAAUUUGUCUUUUAAGUGAAAAGACUUAAAUUAUUUUAAGGGACGAUAAGACCCUAUAAAUCUUUAUAUUAGUGUAUUUUUACUUUAAUUUUUAAUGUUUGUAAAUGUAAGAUUAUAGAAUAUUGUGUUGGGGUGACAAGAAUAAUUAAUAAACUGUUCUAAGAAAAAACAAAGUUGUUUGAUAUUUAAAAGAUCCUUUUUAGAGAUUAAAAGUUUAAGUUACUUUAGGGAUAACAGCGUUAUUUUUUUUGAGAGUUCUAAUCGAAAAAAAAGUUUGCGACCUCGAUGUUGAAUUAAAAUUUCUUUGUGGUGCAGUAGCUACAAGAGAGAGUCUGUUCGACUUUUAAAAUUUUACGUGAUCU
This 424-nucleotide ribosomal RNA is filed under the name Galathea sinensis. RNAcentral describes it as "partial 16S ribosomal RNA". The stretch from base 292 to 424 matches the Rfam family "Bacterial large subunit ribosomal RNA", at positions 2473 to 2606 of the family's 2925-position model. The record is from RNAcentral. Lineage: Eukaryota; Metazoa; Arthropoda; Malacostraca; Decapoda; Galatheidae.